ACAGCCGCAGUAUUCUAACUGUGCUAAGGUAGCAUAAUAAUUUGUCUUAUAAUUGAAGACUGGAAUGAAAGAACUGAUAAUACUAAGUCUUUUUGAAUUAAAUUUUAGAAAUUGAUAUUUACCUCAAAAAGUGUAACUUUUUAAAAAGACAAUAAGACCCUAUAAAACUUUAUUAAUAUUUUAAAUUUAAAUUUAGAAUGAAUUAGCUUUAAAAAUUAAUUAAGCUGGGGCGGCAUCUAAUUUUGAAACUCAUUAAGUAGAUUUAACAAUUCUAAAUGAUUUUAAAGAUCUCUUUAAGAGAUAGAAUAAGUUACUUUAGGGAUAACAGCACAAUUUUUUCAUACAGACCUUAUGGAAGAAAAAGACUUGUGACCUCGAUGUUGAAUUGAGAUGCCAAAUUUAAGCAAAAAUAAAUUUAGGGGGUCUGUUCGACCUUUAAUUUCUCA
RNAcentral lists this ribosomal RNA (446 nucleotides) under Exiliniscus sp. RNAcentral's name for it is "partial 16S ribosomal RNA". The record is from RNAcentral. Lineage: Eukaryota; Metazoa; Arthropoda; Malacostraca; Isopoda; Nannoniscidae.